GAUGAACGCUGGCGGCGUGCCUAAUACAUGCAAGUCGAGCGAACGGACGAGAAGCUUGCUUCUCUGAUGUUAGCGGCGGACGGGUGAGUAACACGUGGAUAACCUACCUAUAAGACUGGGAGAACUUCGGGAAACUGGAGCUAAUACCGGAUAAUAUUUUGAACCGCAUGGUUCAAAAGUGAAAGAUGGUCUUGCUGUCACUAAUAGAUGGAUCCGCGCUGCAUUAGCUAGUUGGUAAGGUAACGGCUUACCAAGGCAACGAUGCAUAGCCGACCUGAGAGGGUGAUCGGCCACACUGGAACUGAGACACGGUCCAGACUCCUACGGGAGGCAGCAGUAGGGAAUCUUCCGCAAUGGGCGAAAGCCUGACGGAGCAACGCCGCGUGAGUGAUGAAGGUCUUCGGAUCGUAAAGCUCUGUUAUUAGGGAAGAACAUAUGUGUAAGUAACUGUGCACAUCUUGACGGUACCUAAUCAGAAAGCCACGGCUAACUACGUU
RNAcentral lists this ribosomal RNA (497 nucleotides) under uncultured bacterium. Its description in RNAcentral is "partial 16S ribosomal RNA". It matches the Rfam family "Bacterial small subunit ribosomal RNA", at positions 28 to 507 of the family's 1533-position model. The record is from RNAcentral.